This 447-nucleotide ribosomal RNA is filed under the name uncultured bacterium. Its description in RNAcentral is "bacterial SSU rRNA". It matches the Rfam family "Bacterial small subunit ribosomal RNA", at positions 355 to 825 of the family's 1533-position model. The record is from RNAcentral.
UCGGGAAUUUUGGGCAAUGGGCGAAAGCCUGACCCAGCAACGCCGCGUGAAGGAUGAAGUAUUUCGGUAUGUAAACUUCGAAAGAAUAGGAAGAAUAAAUGACGGUACUAUUUAUAAGGUCCGGCUAACUACGUGCCAGCAGCCGCGGUAAUACGUAGGGACCAAGCGUUGUUCGGAUUUACUGGGCGUAAAGGGUGCGUAGGCGGCAUAUCAAGUCACUUGUGAAAUCUCCGGGCUUAACUCGGAACUGCCAAGUGAUACUGAUGUGCUAGAGUGCAGAAAGGGCAACUGGAAUUCUUGGUGUAGCGGUGAAAUGCGUAGAUAUCAAGAGGAACACCUGAGGUGAAGACGGGUUGCUGGGCUGACACUGACGCUGAGGCGCGAAAGCCAGGGGAGCAAACGGGAUUAGAUACCCAGGUAGUCCCUGAGCGGGCUGGCAAGGCGCAU